RNAcentral lists this ribosomal RNA (253 nucleotides) under uncultured bacterium. RNAcentral describes it as "partial 16S ribosomal RNA". It matches the Rfam family "Bacterial small subunit ribosomal RNA", at positions 524 to 776 of the family's 1533-position model. The record is from RNAcentral.
UACGGAGGGGGCUAGCGUUGUUCGGAAUUACUGGGCGCAAAGCGCGCGUAGGCGGACCUGCAAGUCGGGGGUGAAAGCCCGAGGCUCAACCUCGGAACUGCCUUCGAUACUGCGGGUCUCGAGUCCGGGAGAGGUGAGUGGAAUUCCUAGUGUAGAGGUGAAAUUCGUAGAUAUUAGGAAGAACACCAGUGGCGAAGGCGGCUCACUGGCCCGGUACUGACGCUGAGGCGCGAAAGCUCGGGGAGCGAACGGG